AAAAGAUCUAGCCUGAACUUGGAAGUGAUUGCCUUUUCGAUGAUCAUGACCGAUGCCGGGUUUUCUCACCCAAAAAGUGAGUCAACAUCAUGUGAACCGUUUUGUCUCUGGCGGUGGGAGAACUAACAAUUCUCUGUCAGCACCUGAGGUUUUCCUCAGUGUGCCGUGGACAAGCCGCCAAUGGUGUAUGUUUUCAUACGAACUUUUGUUUACUUUAAAUCUGUCUGACAUAUCUUUGUAUCUAAAAUAUACAAAAA
RNAcentral lists this unclassified non-coding RNA (257 nucleotides) under soil metagenome. RNAcentral's name for it is "partial internal transcribed spacer 1". The record is from RNAcentral.